RNAcentral lists this ribosomal RNA (355 nucleotides) under Mancopsetta maculata. Its description in RNAcentral is "partial 12S ribosomal RNA". It matches the Rfam family "Bacterial small subunit ribosomal RNA", at positions 801 to 1360 of the family's 1533-position model. The record is from RNAcentral. Lineage: Eukaryota; Metazoa; Chordata; Actinopteri; Pleuronectiformes; Rhombosoleidae.
AAAUAUUGACCAUUUACUUACACUUAACUCCGCCUGGGUAUUACGAACAUAAGUUUAAAACCCGAAGGACUUGGCGGUGCUUAACAUCCACCUAGAGGAGCCUGUUCUAGAACCGAUAACCCCCGUUAAACCUCACCCUCUCUUGUUUAUCCCGCCUAUAUACCACCGUCGUCAGCUUACCCUGUGAAGGGUACAUAGUAAGCGAAAAUGGCAUAGCCUAAAACGUCAGGUCGAGGUGUAGUGCAUGUGAGGGGAAGAAAUGGGCUACAUUCGCUAACUAUAGCGAACUACGAAUGUUGUACUGAAAUAUACAGCUAAAGGAGGAUUUAGCAGUAAGCAGGAAAUAGAGCGUCCU